Molecule: long non-coding RNA, 1038 nt
Organism: Dromaius novaehollandiae (emu)
Lineage: Eukaryota; Metazoa; Chordata; Aves; Casuariiformes; Dromaiidae
Exons: 2
Source: RefSeq, a predicted model, not a curated record
GUGAUAUUGAAGAGUCACAUUGCAUGUGUCAGGUCCUGGACUAUAACACAGAAGAAGUCGAUUCUCAUAAAAUCAAAGGCUGUCUGAAGGCAGGUGUGGACCUUCUUCCUCUGCUGUGUGAUCUGCUUGUCUCCACUGAAUGUGGAACAAUAGUGAGAUGUGUGCAGUAGCCCAGAAGAUUGUGUUCAACAGUGUCUUGUCUCGAGGAGAGAUUUCUCAUUCUUGUCAUAUCUGGCGAAAGAGAAGACAGAGGAGAUCUUUUAUGAAAUGCUCUCUUCUCUACCUAUAUGCUACCAUACCUGAUUUGACAGAUGCAUUGAAAACACUCGCUGACAGGAUGCUACCAUUUCAUACGCCAGUUCUUCCCGAUUUUUGGUAGGGAGAUGAGUGUGACUACACCACUUGAAUACAUCAUCCUCCUUAAGUUUGGAUCACAUUUUGCUUCAGGUUAUUUCCACUUCAAUUACAUCUUCCCCAUUACCCAUCCUGCCUUCACUACUGUGGUCAACAGUAAGAUGGAAUGAAGUAAUUAUUUGUGUUGAGAUCAGAGUUUCCCUGGGACUGCACUCCAGUGCACUUGCAUGAAGGACAACCUGUUAACACCGAAAUGAUAUGGUUGUGGACAGAUUUAUGGAAGAGGAAUAGAUUUAUGCAGGUAAUUCAGUCCUGACCUCUUGAGUUCUCAUUACUUUUCAUCCACCCAGCACUACUGCCCACCUCUUUCCUUUUUAAAUGAGACCCAGUAACUAAUAGUGAAAUUAUGGCAAUCUGCUAUAUGAAAUUUGUGAUUAUUUGCAUUUAAUUAAAGGCUUCUCCUGAGAAAAUGAAGAACAGCUUACCCUCAAAGAAGCCUCUUCAUCUCCAGUAAUUGCUUCUAAUUGAAGUCUUUAGAGUUUCCACCCCACCACAGGAAAAAAAAAAAAGUUUACUCCCACACACAGGUCCCUGAAAAUUAUUUUAUCCUUAUGUAAUUAAGGUGACCAAGGAUGCUCAUAAAAGAUUCUUCAGUGUGACUAAAAUUAAAGUUUAAUUAGUCAA